CCCUACUAUGUAACUCGAUUCUACUUUUGAUUCUAUUCGAAACUCAUUUCCGAUUCUACUUUCAAAUAGUACCACGUAUGAAAGUAGAAUCGAAUGCCAAUUAUACCAACUUAUUUUCAAAAAAUUUUCUACUUUCGAACGAGUAUCGAGUUGUUUGACAGUUUUAAAAACAAAAUAAUAAAAAACAAUAAUAAAACAUCAAAUUUUUGGACAAAAAUAAUUAUUAAAAAAAUGGACACCGUUAGAAUUUGGUUCAAUUUGCAAGGAAAUGAAGAACGGUACGAGCGAAUUAAACGCAGAAGAAUAAGUGAUAGUUCCAAAAUAAUGGAGCUGAGUGAGAAAAUGUUUGCACAUAUAGGGUCCGCCAUAGAAUGUUUUUUUUCGACAAGUGCUUUUUUAGUGAAUGGUUACACUUAGCUCAUGUCUGAUUUCACAGUUAAUUAGAUUAUCGUUCAGCUAAACGAAUAUGGUUCAUCACCUUUUCAGAUGGAGCUCAUUUUGAUCUUUGCGGGUAUGUAAACAAGCAAAAUUGUCGCAUUUGGUUCACAGAAAACCCGUACGCAUACAUUGAAUAGGCGAUACAUCCAAAACAAGUCACUGUUUGGUGCGGAUUCUGGUUUAGAGGCAUAAUUGGAUUAAUUUUCUUCGAAAAUAAGCAAGGAGUGUCCGCUACAGUCAAUGGCGAUCGUUAUCGGGCCAUGUGAACGAAAAGUUCACAGACGGAUGAGGAGUAUAUUGGCAAAAUUUGGUUUCCACAGGACGGCGGCGCUACAUAUUUAACGGACCAUUUAUAUGUAUAUACGGUAGAAUAUUUGAACGCAUUCCUAAUCAAAAAUGCUUUUGUUUUAGUUUUUUUUAGAACUAUCGUCUAAAGACUAAACUAAAGACGGGUUUAUGUUCUUACUUAAGACCAUAUUAUCCGACAUGACUUCUCGCAGAAGACAAAAUGCUUUUCCAAUUAUCAUGAAGUUAUCAUUGAAGUUUUUGGCAAUAAAAAGUUACCAAAACCACAACAGUGAUGAUAAGAACGCUGGACGUGCAUAGCAAACCAUAACAAAAAUACUUGCCGAAGUUUUGACUUCAAUCGAAAGUGUCAUGUGCCUGCUGAUGAUGAAUUUUGAAAUGAAUGAGGAAGAGAAACGAAAGUCCAAACGCUAUUUUUGGCAAAAA
Long non-coding RNA from Eupeodes corollae, 1170 nucleotides. RefSeq lists it as uncharacterized. NCBI's taxonomy places the organism in Eukaryota, Metazoa, Arthropoda, Insecta, Diptera, Syrphidae. The transcript is spliced from 2 exons. The record is from RefSeq and is a predicted model, not a curated record.